UGUUUGCAGUGUGUUUCUAAUGUGUGGGCUCGUGAGAUGGCAGAGAGUGUUUGUGACUCUUCAUUUAAUCCCUUUAGAUUGCUGCUCACCUCUCUGUCUGAUAGGUCUGGGGGUUAAAACUGUUAGCAUAGUCCUUACCCAUGGACAGCCAUGGGCAAACUCCAUCUGGGAGUUCAGUGAAAAAUUAGGACAAGGGAUUUGGUUGAAACGAUCUGCAGGAAAUUUAUUUGUCUCCUGUCAGAAGCACAAGAGGGGAUGGAUGGUGGGUCCUGCAGUUUGGGUUCUUAAAGUGAGGGAUAAUUUUUUUUCCCCACAGAAAUGUAGGAGCAACCUUCCUCACAGGUUUUCUCAGAAAUAGACUAAGAUUCUGAGAUACUGUAAUGUAUCAAGUUUCUCAACAAAGCUGUGUGCAGGAAAGUUCAAGCUGGUUUUAGACAUAAAUACAAGGAAGCAAUAAAAUCUGUGCAGCUCUUCUGGCUUCAGUUCAUCGAUCAGACAUGGGAGAUGUGAAUGGCACACAGUAUUUCAGAGUCUUGCUGAAGGCUGUGAAUGUGUUUGCCUAAGUGACAGAGCAUAACUCCUGGUUCCAUUAGGAAAAUGGUUGCCACAGUGAUAAGAUAGCCCAGUUUUGUCAACAAUGG
Molecule: long non-coding RNA, 641 nt
Organism: Passer domesticus (house sparrow)
Lineage: Eukaryota; Metazoa; Chordata; Aves; Passeriformes; Passeridae
Exons: 4
Source: RefSeq, a predicted model, not a curated record